RNAcentral lists this ribosomal RNA (697 nucleotides) under uncultured Lachnospiraceae bacterium. RNAcentral describes it as "bacterial SSU rRNA". It matches the Rfam family "Bacterial small subunit ribosomal RNA", at positions 40 to 734 of the family's 1533-position model. The record is from RNAcentral. Lineage: Bacteria; Bacillati; Bacillota; Clostridia; Lachnospirales; Lachnospiraceae.
CGGCGUGCCUAACACAUGCAAGUCGAACGGAACUGUUUUGAAAGAUUUCUUCGGAAUGAAUUUGAUUUAGUUUAGUGGCGGACGGGUGAGUAACGCGUGAGUAACCUGCCUUCAAGAGGGGGAUAACAUUCUGAAAAGAAUGCUAAUACCGCAUGAUAUAUCGGAACCACAUGAUUUUGAUAUCAAAGAUUUUAUCGCUUGAAGAUGGACUCGCGUCCGAUUAGUUAGUUGGUGAGGUAACGGCUCACCAAGACCGCGAUCGGUAGCCGGACUGAGAGGUUGAACGGCCACAUUGGGACUGAGACACGGCCCAGACCCCUACGGGAGGCAGCAGUGGGGGAUAUUGCGCAAUGGGGGCAACCCUGACGCAGCAACGCCGCGUGAAGGAUGAAGGUUUUCGGAUUGUAAACUUCUUUUAUUAAGGACGAAAAUUGACGGUACUUAAUGAAUAAGCUCCGGCUAACUACGUGCCAGCAGCCGCGGUAAUACGUAGGGAGCAAGCGUUGUCCGGAUUUACUGGGUGUAAAGGGUGCGUAGGCGGCUUUGCAAGUCAGAUGUGAAAUCUAUGGGCUCAACCCAUAAACUGCAUUUGAAACUGUAGAGCUUGAGUGAAGUAGAGGCAGGCGGAAUUCCCCGUGUAGCGGUGAAAUGCGUAGAGAUGGGGAGGAACACCAGUGGCGAAGGCGGCCUGCUGGGC